RNAcentral lists this ribosomal RNA (1465 nucleotides) under uncultured Bordetella sp. Its description in RNAcentral is "partial 16S-23S ribosomal RNA intergenic spacer". It matches the Rfam family "Bacterial small subunit ribosomal RNA". The record is from RNAcentral. Lineage: Bacteria; Pseudomonadati; Pseudomonadota; Betaproteobacteria; Burkholderiales; Alcaligenaceae.
UUUGAUCAUGGCCUAGAUUGAACGCUGGCGGAUGCUUUACAUUACGCAAGUCGAACGGCAGCACGGACUUCGGUCUGGUGGCGAGUGGCGAACGGGUGAGUAAUGUAUCGGAACGUGCCUAGUAGGGGGAUAACUACGCCAGGCGUAGCUAAUACCGCAUACGCCCUUCGGGGAAAGCGGGGGGACCUCCCGGGCCUCGCACUAUUAGAGCGGCCGAUAUCGGAUUAGCUAGUUGGUGGGGUAACGGCUCACCAAGGCGACGAUCCGCAGCUGGUUUGAGAGGACGACCAGCCACACUGGGACUGGAGACACGGCCCAGAUCACGGGAGGCAGCAGUGGGAAUUUUGGAAUGGGGAAACCCCGAUCCAGCCAUCCCGCGUGUGCGAUGAAGGCCUUCAGUUGGGGUAAAGCACUUUGGCAGGAAGAACGGCACGGGAUAAUACCCCGUGCAACUGACGGCACUGCACAAGACCGGGCUAACUACGUGCCAGCAGCCGCGGUAAUACGUAGGGUGUGCGUUAAUCGGAAUUACUGGGCGUAAAGCGUGCAGGCGGUUCGAAAGAAAGAUGUGAAAUCCCAGAGCUUAACUUUGGAACUGCAUUUUUAACUACCGAGCUAGAGUGUGUCAGAGGGAGGUGGAAUUCCGCGUGUAGCAGUGAAAUGCGUAGAUAUGCGGAGGAACACCGAUGGCGAAGGCAGCUCUGGGAUAACACUGACGCUCAUGCACGAAAGCGUGGGGAGCAAAUGAUUAGAUAUUCCUGGUAGUCCACGCCCUCAAACGAUGUCAACUAGCUGUUGGGGUUUCGGCCUUAGUGCAAGUAGCGCAGCUAACGUGUGAAGUUGACCGCCUGGGGAGUACGGUCGCAAGAUUAAAACUCAAAGGAAUUGACGGGGACUCGCACAAGCGGUGGAUGAUGUGGAUUAAUUCGAUGCAACGCGAAAAACCUUACCUACCCUUGACAUGUCUGGAAUCCCGAAGAGAUUUGGAGUGCUCGCAAGAGAACCGGAACACAGGUGCUGUAUGGCUGUCGUCAGCUCGUGUCGUGAGAUGUUGGGUUAAGUCCCGCAACGAGCAACCCUUGUCAUUAUUGCUACGAAAGGGCACUCUAAUGAGACUGCCGGUGACAAACCGGAGGAAGGUGGGGAUGACGUCAAGUCCUCAUGGCCCUUAUGGGUAGGGCUUCACGCCAUACAAUGGUCGGGACAGAGGUCGCCAACCCGCGAGGGGGAGCCAAUCCCAGAAACCCGAUCGUAGUCCGGAUCGCAGUCUGCAACUCGACUGCGUGAAGUCGGAAUCGCUAGUAAUCGCGGAUCAGCAUGUCGCGGUGAAUACGUUCCCAGGUCUUGUACACACCGCCCGUCACACCAUGGGAGUGGGUUUUACCAGAAGUAGUUAGCCUUAACCGUAAGGAGGGCGAUUACCACGGUAGGAUUCAUGACUGGGGUGAAGUCGUAAAUAAGGUAA